This 378-nucleotide unclassified non-coding RNA is filed under the name uncultured Actinomycetes bacterium. RNAcentral describes it as "uncultured actinobacterium contains 16S-23S intergenic spacer region". The record is from RNAcentral. Lineage: Bacteria; Bacillati; Actinomycetota; Actinomycetes.
UCCGAGUUCACCCCGGCAGUCUCCCAUGAGUUCCCGACACCACUCGCUGGCAACAUAGGACAAGGGUUGCGCUCGUUGCGGGACUUAACCCAACAUCUCACGACACGAGCUGACGACAACCAUGCACCACCUGUACACCCCCAACCAAAUGACCCCACAUCUCUGCAGGAACAGGGCAUAUGUCAAAUCCUGGUAAGGUUCUUCGCGUUGCAUCGAAUUAAGCCGCAUGCUCCGCCGCUUGUGCGGGCCCCCGUCAAUUCCUUUGAGUUUUAGCCUUGCGGCCGUACUCCCCAGGCGGGGCGCUUAAAGCGUUAGCUACGGCACAGAAAACCAAAAAGUCCCCCACACCUAGCGCCCAACGUUUACGGCUAGGACUAC